GAGGGGUGCAAGCGUUAUUCGGGAAUCACUGGGGCGUAAAGGGCGUGUAGGCGGUUUAUUAAGUCAGUUGUUAAAUCCUCCGGCCUAACCGGGGGGGGCCUGCAAUUGAUACUGGUAUGACUAGAGUACAGAAGAGAGAGGUGGAAUUAUCGGAGUAGCGGUAAAAUGCGUAGAUCUCGAUAGGAACACCGAUGGCGAAGGCAGCCUCUUGGUCUGUGUCUGACGCUAAAGCGCGAAAGCGUGGGGAGCAAACAGGAUUAGAUACCCUGGUAGUCCACGCCGUAAACGAUGAUCACUAGAUGUGGCUUGAGCUUGCUCGGGCCGUGUCGUAGCUAACGCGUUAAGUGAUCCGCCUGGGAACUACGAUCGCAAGAUUA
RNAcentral lists this ribosomal RNA (377 nucleotides) under uncultured organism. RNAcentral describes it as "partial 16S ribosomal RNA". It matches the Rfam family "Bacterial small subunit ribosomal RNA", at positions 527 to 896 of the family's 1533-position model. The record is from RNAcentral.